Molecule: ribosomal RNA, 252 nt
Filed under: uncultured bacterium
Lineage: Bacteria
Also listed under: 1 other name
Description: partial 16S ribosomal RNA
Rfam family: Bacterial small subunit ribosomal RNA
Source: RNAcentral
UACGGGGGGGUAAGCGUUGUUCGGAAUUACUGGGCGUAAAGGGCUCGUAGGCGGCCAACUAAGUCAGACGUGAAAUCCCUCAGCUUAACUGGGGAACUGCGUCUGAUACUGGAUGGCUUGGAUUCGGGAGAGGAAUGCGGAAUUCCAGGUGUAGCGGUGAAAUGCGUAGAUAUCUGGAGGAACACCGGUGGCGAAGGCGGCAUUCUGGACCGAUAUUGACGCUGAGGAGCGAAAGCCAGGGGAGCAAACGGG